Molecule: long non-coding RNA, 909 nt
Organism: Malus domestica (apple)
Lineage: Eukaryota; Viridiplantae; Streptophyta; Magnoliopsida; Rosales; Rosaceae
Source: RefSeq, a predicted model, not a curated record
UACUUUAGUCUAAACAAGGGUUUCCAAGAUCAAAUGAACAGUGUUUGAGACCGAAUUGUUAAUGAGGCCGGCCCUUUGGGUGUUCAAAUGACGGAAAUAUUCACCUAGGGUUAGGAUCACACGGCUAGAAUUAAAGGGUUGCAGGGCACUUUUGUCAUCUUAAUUUUGGGAUUGGGAUUGACGGUGAGGGCAGACGGAGAGGGACAGUGGCCAUGCCACUUGCAGAGGUAGAGAGCGAUAGAGAGAGAUUUCGUGCGGAUCUUUCGAUUCGGGAGUAGGAGGGUGACAUUGAGAGAAACCGAGAGAGAGAGAGAGAGAGAGAGAGAGAGAGAGAGAGAUUUUGUGCGGAUAUUCGAUUCGGGAGUGGGAGGGUGACAGUGAGAGAAAUCGUCGGGACUGCAAGGAGAGAAAGAGAGAGGGAGGGGUGGGGGUGGCGAACAGUGGCAAGUUAGGUUCGUGUAUGCGGGAUUUGCUGUCCUUCGUCCAUCCUGCGUCUGCAUGUCCUUAUUCACAAGCUGCCAAUAGCAAUUUUCCCAGUUCACAUGCCCUCGAUGCAACUCACGCUACUGUUCCCUGCACCGCUACAAGUCCAUUCGUGCAGAAGACAUCUUCAUUAACUGGUAACAGAUGAAAUCGUUUGCAGUAGAGGUUCUCGUGCAGAUGAGGGAAAAUACUGCAAGUAGAGAAUAGAUAAUAGCUCAAGACACAUGGUAUGAGGGUGCAGGUAAACUGUACAUAUGCAUCUGGAAAAAGUAAAAAGUAAAGGCCGGUUGGUUGUAGCUUCUCAUUCUCACCACAACAUUAAAAAGUCAAGGCGGGUUGGCUGUAGCUUCUCCUUCUCGCCGCAACAUAAAAUACUUUUGAACUGCAUUAAGCUGUUAAUAAAUUAAGCUUAAGCUAUAUUUUACA